AGCUUGCUUUUCAAAGUUAGUGGCGGACGGGUGAGUAACGCGUGGGUAACCUGCCUCAUACAGGGGGAUAGCAGCUGGAAACGGCUGAUAAAACCGCAUAAGCGCACAGCAUCGCAUGAUGCAGUGUGAAAAACUCCGGUGGUAUGAGAUGGACCCGCGUCUGAUUAGCUAGUUGGUGAGGUAAUGGCCCACCAAGGCGACGAUCGGUAGCCGGACUGAGAGGUUGAACGGCCACAUUGGGACUGAGACACGGCCCAGACUCC
Molecule: ribosomal RNA, 263 nt
Filed under: uncultured Lachnospiraceae bacterium
Lineage: Bacteria; Bacillati; Bacillota; Clostridia; Lachnospirales; Lachnospiraceae
Description: partial 16S ribosomal RNA
Rfam family: Bacterial small subunit ribosomal RNA
Source: RNAcentral